AAAUUUAAUAAAUAAAAUUAGUGUAAUUCAGAAAACUGCAUUUUUCAAAAGUACCACAAAAAUAUCAUUAUACUAAGACUAAUUUUAACAUUUCAUAAUUUUUUUUAUAUAAAAUAUCUACUUACUAUAAUAUAAUUUAAUAUUUGAUCAUUCAACUAUUUCGCUAUUGCAGGGUCUCAUUUGUCCAAACAAUAUCAUAUAAAAAUCUGUUCAUAUUUUUUGCAUCUGAAAUAAUCUGUUCAGACCAGUUUUUUCU
This 256-nucleotide long non-coding RNA is filed under the name Brassica rapa (field mustard). RNAcentral's name for it is "long non-coding RNA (BRAP_LNC005983)". The record is from RNAcentral. Lineage: Eukaryota; Viridiplantae; Streptophyta; Magnoliopsida; Brassicales; Brassicaceae.